This is a non-coding RNA of Chrysemys picta bellii (western painted turtle), 3078 nucleotides long. The record is from RefSeq and is a predicted model, not a curated record. Lineage: Eukaryota; Metazoa; Chordata; Testudines; Emydidae.
CAUGCCCCAAGUCAAUAACAGACAUAAUCAACAAGAAACAUAAUGAACAAGAUAGUGAACUGUUUGUUUCACUUGUUUAAAAAUGUCCUGGAAAACAGGAAGAAGAUUAAUAACGGGCUCUCGUUUUAGUUCCAGUCUUAAGCAUGGCAUAUGUGUAACAUCUGGUAGGUUUGGAAAGUGAAACUGUCACAGCCAAAGAAUCUCAGUGCUGAUAUUUAGGGUUGAAUGUCUGACCUAAUUCAGAGAGAUAGUAGGGGCUGCUAAGCACAGAGAUAAGGCACCACAGUAUACAGUGGCUUUUAUUUCAGAGCAUAGUCAAAUGUUUUCAUUGACUAUGGAGCUGGUUGGCUUUCAUCUAAAGGGUGCAGAUUACGUCAUGAAGGCAGGAAUGGCUGGGAGACCACUUGGCAAGUAAGCUAGCAAAGAAAGCUCAAAGGACAGAUCCACAGCUGGUGCAGCUGCUCUGAUCUACAUGAGCUGAAAAUCUGGCCCAUAAUAUUUUCAGGAGUGUAUAGCAAACAGAAACCGGAGCACCUCCCAGCUUUCCUAACGAAAAGCGGAACUCAGCAGUUGGGAGAAAAGCAGUUGGGAAUCCAGUGGAAUGAAUGUAGAUACCACGAGUGGCUAAAGCUGAACCCAGGCAAGACUGGAGUGAUGCUCGGAGGAAGAGAGAAGUGCUCUGAAGAACUCGCCUCCUCUGUAACAUCCUCCACUUCCAUCCGUGACUGGCCAGAAGCUUGUGCCUCAUCAGGGAUCCAUGAUUUGUGAUGUCCCAAUUGAAUAGUUGCAGCUCAUUAUAUCUAGGAAGGAAGCUGCACUGAGGAAAUUCCCUUUGAUAUAAAAGAGAGUAGCCCAUUUACUCCUCUAUGUGCUCCACUCUAUGCACUGGAUUUCCACUGAAUAGAGUUCACAGUUCACAGUUGCUGUCCAAAGUUGCCCAUGGGAUUGGCCUGAGACACACGUCUCCCUCUGCAAGCAGGACCUCCCAUGAAAGCUACAUGUAGUUCCCUAGAUCAGUGAAGCUGUCAACUAAGGAAGGGGAGCUCAUGAGUAGGGGAGACAGUGUCGUGGGGAUGGCUUUGAGCUACUGCUGCAUCCUGGUCUAUGUGGCGUACCUGGAGAUCUGUCCAGGGUUUAAAUCAGCACAAGUAUCCCCACUCUGGGAACUCCACAGGCUUCUCAGUAACCAAAGGAAACAGCGGUAGCUACACUCAAACAUUUAUUUAAAAAACCAACAACUCUAAAGCCUAAGCACGGGCAAUCAGCUUAACAAAGCAGAGUCUGUUUCUGUGAGGAGAUCAAUCUUCACCAUGAAAUAGGCCUUCUGAGGAUGAACACGGGCUGCUUAAGUUCUUGGUUGUCAGCCCUUUCCGCUUUCCUUUUCAAGCUAAAGCGUUAAACUAGUGAGCACACGUGAACCAAUUGCUUGGAGUCCUGAGACAACAAAUGUCUGGAAAAUUAGGAAUGUCAGACUGAGAAGCACAUUAUUGUCACUCGACAAAUAAUAAACUGGUGUACACAGCCAUAAAAAUGAUGUCUCUUUGUUUCCCUGAGUACUGCACCUUUCAAUUUCCAACACUCCCCUCCUGGUGGAUUAAAUUGAGUGGCUGGUUUGUUGUUUGUGGUCAGUGCAGACUCUCACAGAGGAGGUGUAUGCGCUGUGCUCUCUCUGUCUCUCGUGGGGUACAUUGCUUUUGUUCUUUUUCUCUCCUCACCUCAAACAAGUCAUUCCUGGCUCAACGUAUCUGUCUAUUUGGGCCUUAUACAUGGAAAACCGUAACAAUAAGAUGGUGCGUGGCUGAGAAAAUCUGCAAUAUUAGGAGAACGCAGCCAGUGAGAGCGCUUAUCGAAUGUACAGUGCAAAUAGAUGGCUGACUACAGAAGGAUCAGAGUCCCUGUUUUACCUGGUUCUCGCCAUCCUAUUCAAUCCUGAUUUACUCCUUCUGCCCACACCCUAGAAACAGGCAUCUUGCAAAUGAAACUAACUGGAUUCUCUGCUGAAAAAUGUCUUUCUAACCACAGCAUGAGAAAUACAACUAUUCCCAAGCUGAGUGGAUGAAAGCCUGAUUCCAGCGGAUGUGGCUGAAGUCACUGGCCACAAAUAUCUUCCCAGCACAAACAGCUAUUUUGUCCUCCUUGAGAACAAGUAGAAAGAGAGAGAGGGGUAGAUCUAAAUCCUUCUGUGCAUCCCACCCAUCACCGCUGUCCCAGCAGUUGUUCUUUUUUCCCCAAGAUGUUUUGUACUAUGUUCUUGCCAGCUCUUACAAGUUAAACAGGGAUGGGCUGGUUUGAUAUGUAAAUGGGAGACCUCUAAGGAACACAGAAGUGCUCUUGGGGGAUAAGUAGGUGGUGUUUUCUCUCUGAGUUAGUACUGAAUGAAUGCCUCCUGUGGUGCUAACUGGCCAUGUGCUGCUGGAGGUAACACCUUUUUUGGCUGAUAUGCCCUGUUCACUUGAGCUCCUUAAAGAUUCUUUGGCACUUUUUGUGUGUAUCCCUCUGCAUGUGCAAGAGCAGGGGUGGUGUCCUGGCCAAAUUCCAACAUGGAUAAUUUCAAUCUGAUGGCCAAUAAUAAUAAUUAACAAAUGCCCUGGUAGUUUCAACUGGAAACACAAUUUUUCUUCAUUUCCUGUCCUAACCUAAUGUGCUAUAUUGCUAUACCUUUUUUCCUAAAUAGUUGUUUUUGCUUAAAUUGAAAUAAAACAAAUCAUUCUGCCACAAUAAAUCCAUAAUCUUAAAUUGUCAUUUAUUACUGUAAACAGUGAAAUGCAGGGGCAGAUCCUUGGCUGGUGUGAAUUGUCGUAGGGCAUUGAAACUUAUGACAAUUUACCCCAGCUGAAGAUCUGCCUCAGCAUAAAUUACCCUGAAACAUUUGGAAAUAAUAUUUGGUUGAGCUUUAUUUAAAAACUAUCACAAAAUGUAUAUUAGAACUAGAAAAGGUACAGAGAAGGGCAACAAAAAUGAUUAGGGGUAUGGAGCAGCUUCCGUCCGAGGAGGAUUAAAAAGACUGGGACUGUCCAGCUUGGAAAAGAGACAACAAAGGGGGGAUAUCAUAAAGGUCUGAACAAAAUCAUGAAUGGU